GACGAACGCUGGCGGCGUGCUUAACACAUGCAAGUCGAACGGAAAGGCCCUGCUUUUGUGGGGUGCUCGAGUGGCGAACGGGUGAGUAACACGUGAGUAACCUGCCCUUGACUUUGGGAUAACUUCAGGAAACUGGGGCUAAUACCGGAUAGGAGCUCCGGCUGCAUGGUGGGGGUUGGAAAGUUUCGGCGGUUGGGGAUGGAUUCGCGGCUUAUCAGCUUUUUGGUGGGGUAGUGGCUUACCAAGGCUUUGACGGGUAGCCGGCAUGAGAGGGUGACCGGCCACAUUGGGACUGAGAUACGGCCCAGACUCCUACGGGAGGCAGCAGUGGGGAAUAUUGCACAAUGGGCGGAAGCCUGAUGAAGAAACGCCGCGUGCGGGAUGAAGGCCUUCGGGUUGUAAACCGCUUUCGCCUGUGACGAAGCGUGAGUGACGGUAAUGGGUAAAGAAGCACCGGCUAACUACGUG
RNAcentral lists this ribosomal RNA (468 nucleotides) under uncultured bacterium. RNAcentral's name for it is "partial 16S ribosomal RNA". It matches the Rfam family "Bacterial small subunit ribosomal RNA", at positions 28 to 507 of the family's 1533-position model. The record is from RNAcentral.